RNAcentral lists this transfer RNA (70 nucleotides) under Dipodomys ordii (Ord's kangaroo rat). It matches the Rfam family "tRNA". Rfam says of the family: Transfer RNA (tRNA) molecules are approximately 80 nucleotides in length. Lineage: Eukaryota; Metazoa; Chordata; Mammalia; Rodentia; Heteromyidae. The record is from Rfam by way of RNAcentral.
GGGAGUAUAGCUUAGUGGUACAGUGCUUGCCUAGCAUGCAUGAAGCCCUGGGUUCGAUUCCUCAGUACCA